This 1364-nucleotide ribosomal RNA is filed under the name uncultured bacterium. Its description in RNAcentral is "bacterial SSU rRNA". It matches the Rfam family "Bacterial small subunit ribosomal RNA", at positions 28 to 1381 of the family's 1533-position model. The record is from RNAcentral.
AUUGAACGCUGGCGGCAGGCCUAACACAUGCAAGUCGAACGGUAACAGGAAACAGCUUGCUGUUUCGCUGACGAGUGGCGGACGGGUGAGUAAUGUCUGGGAAACUGCCUGAUGGAGGGGGAUAACUACUGGAAACGGUAGCUAAUACCGUAUAACGUCGCAAGACCAAAGAGGGGGACCUUCGGGCCUCUUGCCAUCAGAUGUGCCCAGAUGGGAUUAGCUAGUAGGUGGGGUAACGGCUCACCUAGGCGACGAUCCCUAGCUGGUCUGAGAGGAUGACCAGCCACACUGGAACUGAGACACGGCCCAGACUCCUACGGGAGGCAGCAGUGGGGAAUAUUGCACAAUGGGCGCAAGCCUGAUGCAGCCAUGCCGCGUGUAUGAAGAAGGCCUUCGGGUUGUAAAGUACUUUCAGCGGGGAGGAAGGGAGUAAAGUUAAUACCUUUGCUCAUUGACGUUACCCGCAGAAGAAACACCGGCUAACUCCGUGCCAGCAGCCGCGGUAAUACGGAGGGUGCAAGCGUUAAUCGGAAUUACUGGGCGUAAAAGCGCACGCAGGCGGUUUGUUAAGUCAGAUGUGAAAUCCCCGGGCUCAACCUGGGAACUGCAUCUGAUACUGGCAAGCUUGAGUCUCGUAGAGGGGGGUAGAAUUCCAGGUGUAGCGGUGAAAUGCGUAGAGAUCUGGAGGAAUACCGGUGGCGAAGGCGGCCCCCUGGACGAAGACUGACGCUCAGGUGCGAAAGCGUGGGGAGCAAACAGGAUUAGAUACCCUGGUAGUCCACGCCGUAAACGAUGUCGACUUGGAGGUUGUGCCCUUGAGGCGUGGCUUCCGGAGCUAACGCGUUAAGUCGACCGCCUGGGGAGUACGGCCGCAAGGUUAAAACUCAAAUGAAUUGACGGGGGCCCGCACAAGCGGUGGAGCGUGUGGUUUAAUUCGAUGCAACGCGAAGAACCUUACCUGGUCUUGACAUCCACGGAAGUUUUCAGAGAUGAGAAUGUGCCUUCGGGAACCGUGAGACAGGUGCUGCAUGGCUGUCGUCAGCUCGUGUCGUGAAAUGUUGGGUUAAGUCCCGCAACGAGCGCAACCCUUAUCCUUUGUUGCCAGCGGUCCGGCCGGGAACUCAAAGGAGACUGCCAGUGAUAAACUGGAGGAAGGUGGGGAUGACGUCAAGUCGUCAUGGCCCUUACGACCAGGGCUACACACGUGCUACAAUGGCGCAUACAAAGAGAAGCGACCUCGCGAGAGCAAGCGGACCUCAUAAAGUGCGUCGUAGUCCGGAUUGGAGUCUGCAACUCGACUCCAUGAAGUCGGAAUCGCUAGUAAUCGUGGAUCAGAAUGCCACGGUGAAUACGUUCCCGGGCCU